AGUGAACGCUGGCGGUAGGCCUAACACAUGCAAGUCGAACGGCAGCACAGUAAGAGCUUGCUCUUACGGGUGGCGAGUGGCGGACGGGUGAGGAAUACAUCGGAAUCUACUUUUUCGUGGGGGAUAACGUAGGGAAACUUACGCUAAUACAGCAUACGACCUACGGGUGAAAGCAGGGGAUCUUCGGACCUUGCGCGAUUGAAUGAGCCGAUGUCGGAUUAGCUAGUUGGCGGGGUAAAGGCCCACCAAGGCGACGAUCCGUAGCUGGUCUGAGAGGGUGAUCAGCCACACUGGAACUGAGACACGGUCCAGACUCCUACGGGAGGCAGCAGUGGGGAAUAUUGGACAAUGGGCGCAAGCCUGAUCCAGCCAUACCGCGUGAGUGAAGAAGGCCUUCGGGUUGUAAAGCCCUUUUGUUGGGAGAGAAAAGCAGCAGGUUAAUACCCCGCUGUUCUGACGGUACCCAAAGAAUAAGCACCGGCUAACUUCGUG
This 492-nucleotide ribosomal RNA is filed under the name uncultured bacterium. RNAcentral's name for it is "partial 16S ribosomal RNA". It matches the Rfam family "Bacterial small subunit ribosomal RNA", at positions 29 to 507 of the family's 1533-position model. The record is from RNAcentral.